UACAGAGGUCCCAAGCGUUGUUCGGAUUCACUGGGCGUAAAGGGUGCGCAGGUGGGUUGGCAAGUUCGAUGUGAAAGCCCCGGGCUUAACCCGGGAAUGGCAUUGGAUACUGUUGAUCUGGAGGGUCGGAGGGGGGACUGGAAUUCUUGGUGUAGCAGUGAAAUGCGUAGAUAUCAAGAGGAACACCAGUGGCGAAGGCGAGUCCCCGGACGAUACCUGACACUGAGGCACGAAAGCCAAGGGAGCAAACAGG
This 253-nucleotide ribosomal RNA is filed under the name uncultured bacterium. Its description in RNAcentral is "partial 16S ribosomal RNA". It matches the Rfam family "Bacterial small subunit ribosomal RNA", at positions 524 to 776 of the family's 1533-position model. The record is from RNAcentral.